This is a long non-coding RNA of Lucilia sericata (common green bottle fly), 2610 nucleotides long. RefSeq lists it as uncharacterized. The record is from RefSeq and is a predicted model, not a curated record. The transcript is spliced from 2 exons. NCBI's taxonomy places the organism in Eukaryota, Metazoa, Arthropoda, Insecta, Diptera, Calliphoridae.
UCAGUUCUAGUUCAGUUCUAGUUCAGUUCUAGUUCAGUUCUAGUUCAGUUCUAGUUCAAUUCUAGUUCAAUUCUAGUUCAAUUCUAGUUCAAUUCUAGUUCAGUUCUAGUUCUGUUCUAGUUUUUGAAAGCACCAGAUAUCUCGGAAUCCAAAUUUUCAAUAAUAUAUGAACAAAUAGUUUUCCUUCGAAAAUUCAAAUUUGAACUUCAGUAAACUUUUUUUGUAAAAUUAAACUUUUUCUUUCAAUUUGUUAUAGUUUUUUUUUUUCGUAUAAUUUUCUAAUAAUAUUCCCAAAUCUUUAAACACUUAUUGCCAUUCAAAAUAAAACAAUUACAACUUUCAAUACUUACGUACAAACUCACGCGACGUUUAACGAACAAAAAAAAAACACUACUUUGAACACUAUAACAAAAACAAUAACGAAAACUAAACAAAAAUUAAAUAAAUGUAAUGAAAUUUUUAUAAAAUUAAAAAAAAAGAACACAACCGUUUAAGAUCUUUUACCCACAGUAAUAAUAUAAAAUAAUAACUAAAACAUUUAGGUAUUGAGUACAUCAUAAACGGCUUCAAAGGAAAACUUUUACAAAACUAUGCAAAAUGAGUCUAUGAGAUAUAGGAAUUUUAAAUCAGAUUUUGCUGAAUACGGAAACCUUUUUUGAAAUAACAUCGAAUUUUGAGAGACAAAUUUAGAAGAACGUUUCAAAAAGAAAUUAUUAGUCGCAAAACUAAAAUUUAUAUUUUGUAGGAAAUUUUUAAAAUUGAAUUAAACGUUUUUUCAUCCGUUUUUUUUUUUUUUUUUUCAAAUUUGUAAAAGUUUUUCUUUAAAGUCGUUAUAAUAAAUACAAGUUUCAUGUAUGUUUUUAUGCCGUAGUAUGAAGAAAUGAUAUGAUGAUGGUUUGUUGUGAGAACGUUGCUGAUGAUGAUAUGAUAAUGAUAAUUACGAGUGUGAACAAAAAAAACAUUAUGUGUGUGCAUGUCAUUUUUGAAAUUUCUAUUUACAGUUUUAAAUAAUCUACUUACUACAUAAUACUAAUUAUAUAAAAAUGUCGAAAGAGAAAUAAUUCAAGCUGCUAAUGGAAAACCUACUCUACGUACAUGUAAAGCAGUAUCCCUGUUUGAAUGUGUCUGAAAGAAUGUUGUAUUCAUUUUUCAUUAAUGUGAGUGUGACGAAUGUGAUUUUGAUGAAUUUGAAACUCAUUAUAAAAAAAAAACUAUUCUUUCUUAAAAUUAAAAGUUGAAUGAAUGAAGGGGCUGAAUGAUGAUGAUAAUGGUAAUAUAUUGGUGAUUGGUUUCAUUCAUCUAAAACUUUAAAACACAAAAAUUAAAAAAAAAAUAAAUAAAAACAAAAAUGAUGUACCUAUACACUUAUGCAAAACUGAACGUGUGAGAGAUUGUGCAAAUUAUAAUUUAAUUUUCAAUUAAAAUUAAGUAUAAAUGAUGAUAAUGAUAUUGAUGAGUAAUGAUGCUUGUUAAAAAAUCAUAAGUGCGGGUGCUGAUCAUUCCAUGUGUGUAGUAUUACUAAAAAGAAUUUAAAAAAAAAACGUAUGAGUAUUUUAUGAAUCUUCUAAAACAUAACUGAUAAUAAUAUGAAUGAUUUUAUGAAUCUUCUUAUUAAUAUUAAUAUAGUAUAUAAUACGAAUCUAUAGUAUGUUUGUAUGUGUGUGUUAUGUAUGUGUGCGUACGUAUGUAUGUGUGUUAACAUGACAGCAGACAUAACAAAUACAAUAAAAAUACGAAAGACUUAAAUAAUUGCAAAACAAAAAAAAUAAUAAUUAAAAUUACAACUUAACGGACCAAAACAAUGGUUAAAAACUUGACAUUUAAAUGACUGAAUAUAAAAUUACAAAACAAAAAACAACAAUAGCAACGAAUUAACUAACUAACUACCAAUAAAUAAUAAAGGACUAACUUAAACAUAAAAAAACAACAAUUUUAUAUAAAGAAAUUGUUUACAUAUUUCAUUUUGCAUUUGACAGCGUCUUCAACUAAAAAUUCUUAAAGUCUAUUUCAAAUUUUAGAUAAAUAAACUAACUUUCCUUCAGUUUAUCAUUAGUAGUUAGAAUAUUAGAAAAAAAUCAUAGUUCGUAUGAAUUCGCGUGUAUUUUGUUUUCAUUGUAGCUCAACUACAUAGUUUUGUAUGACUCUGUGUGUGUUUUUAGUUGUGAUUGUUUUAUCAUAAUUAAUUUUUAAUCUAACAAAAAAAGACAGUGUUUAAAUCUUAAAAAAUAUAUAUAAAUUUCUAUAUUCCUUAAUUAACCAUUGGAUUCAUUAAAUUUCUAACUUUAACUCUAUCUCUCUCCCUGUCUAACACUCUCCCUCCCACAUAUCUUUCUCUUGUAGUAGUUGUAUUAAAAUUAGUAAAAGUAAAUAUUCAAUUUUUUAUUAUAUCUAUAAAAUUACAAACAAAUAAAAACUCAUCCUGUUUUUUCAGUACUUGUUAAAGUGAUUUAAUUUUCAGAAACUUAAACUAAUAUUAAAAAGAAAAAUAAACAUUUAUUAAAUUUAAGAUAAAAAAAAAACAUUGUAAUUUGUAUGACUGAUAGUUUGUACGUUUAAAAUUUAUGUGUGUGAAAAUAAAGAUUCUUAUUGUUUUCUUUCGACGCAAAAAAA